This 162-nucleotide ribosomal RNA is filed under the name Pterostylis recurva. RNAcentral describes it as "5.8S ribosomal RNA". It matches the Rfam family "5.8S ribosomal RNA". From Rfam's summary of the family: 5.8S ribosomal RNA (5.8S rRNA) is a component of the large subunit of the eukaryotic ribosome. It is transcribed by RNA polymerase I as part of the 45S precursor that also contains 18S and 28S rRNA. Lineage: Eukaryota; Viridiplantae; Streptophyta; Magnoliopsida; Asparagales; Orchidaceae. The record is from RNAcentral.
UAGGACUCUCGGCAAKGGAUAUCUUGGCUCUUGCAUCGAUGAAGAGCGCAGCGAAAUGCGAUACGUGGUGUGAAUUGCAGAAUCCCGUGAACCAUCGAGUUAUUGAACGCAAGUUGCGCCCGAGGCCAAUUGGYUAAGGGCACGUCCGCCUGGGUGUUAAGC